GGUAAUACGGAGGGUGCGAGCGUUAAUCGGAAUUACUGGGCGUAAAGCGCAUGCAGGUGGUUUGUUAAGUCAGAUGUGAAAGCCCGGGGCUCAACCUCGGAAUAGCAUUUGAAACUGGCAGACUAGAGUACUGUAGUAGGGGGGUAGAAUUUCAGGUGUAGCGGUGAAAUGCGUAGAGAUCUGAAGGAAUACCGGUGGCGAAGGCGGCCCCCUGGACAGAUACUGACACUCAG
This 233-nucleotide ribosomal RNA is filed under the name uncultured Vibrio sp. Its description in RNAcentral is "partial 16S ribosomal RNA". It matches the Rfam family "Bacterial small subunit ribosomal RNA", at positions 519 to 750 of the family's 1533-position model. Lineage: Bacteria; Pseudomonadati; Pseudomonadota; Gammaproteobacteria; Vibrionales; Vibrionaceae. The record is from RNAcentral.